Molecule: small nuclear RNA, 19 nt
Filed under: Arabidopsis thaliana (thale cress)
Lineage: Eukaryota; Viridiplantae; Streptophyta; Magnoliopsida; Brassicales; Brassicaceae
Description: snRNA_16568
Source: RNAcentral
UCGAGGGGGUCCCGUUGAA